CUCUAUCCCAUGGGAUUGGCUGUAGAGAGGGUAUUGAUUUUAACAUGUUGAUUCGAUAAUGCCUGCUUAGUUAGAGAUCGCUAAAGGGAUUUAGGUCAGUGUCUAGCUUUACUUGAGGAUUUCUAUCACGGGAGUGAAUUAAUCUGUUGUUGAACUUGUUGUCUAGGGAUAGCUUCUGUGAAGUUUUGUCAACCGCCUGAAUAGAUUAAGUAGACCACACUAUUCGAUUCCCCAUCCUUAGGAAUCGUUUAUCCAUUUGAUUGCCUGUUAUCAUUUCUGCUUUGUCAUUUACUUGCCUGCUAUUGCCAUUUCUGCUUUUAGUUUCAUUUCAUUUCUGUUAUUGCAUACUAGGACUGUUAGAACCAACCAACUUUCUGUUUGGCUUGACUUAGAGCUUUUUGAUCAUAUCUCAUCUGUUUGCAUCACACCGGAUUGGAUUGACAUCCUAAAAUAGUACAACGAUAGGAUAGUGUUUUAGGGAUUAAGUGAGUAAAAUCCUACUAUCAAUCUGUAAUUGAAGUGGUUUUUUUGUAGAAAAGA
RNAcentral lists this small RNA (540 nucleotides) under Arabidopsis thaliana (thale cress). Its description in RNAcentral is "ATSL157850". Lineage: Eukaryota; Viridiplantae; Streptophyta; Magnoliopsida; Brassicales; Brassicaceae. The record is from RNAcentral.